RNAcentral lists this transfer RNA (74 nucleotides) under Triticum aestivum (bread wheat). It matches the Rfam family "tRNA". Rfam says of the family: Transfer RNA (tRNA) molecules are approximately 80 nucleotides in length. The record is from Rfam by way of RNAcentral. Lineage: Eukaryota; Viridiplantae; Streptophyta; Magnoliopsida; Poales; Poaceae.
AGCGGGGUAGAGGAAUUGGUCAACUCAUCAGGCUCAUGACCUGAAGACUGCAGGUUCGAACCCUAUCCCCGCCU